This 343-nucleotide unclassified non-coding RNA is filed under the name soil metagenome. RNAcentral's name for it is "partial contains 5.8S ribosomal RNA, internal transcribed spacer 2, and large subunit ribosomal RNA". The stretch from base 1 to 120 matches the Rfam family "5.8S ribosomal RNA", at positions 35 to 154 of the family's 154-position model. The record is from RNAcentral.
GAUGAAGAACGCAGCGAAAUGCGAUAAGUAAUGUGAAUUGCAGAAUUCAGUGAAUCAUCGAAUCUUUGAACGCACAUUGCGCCCGCUAGUAUUCUGGCGGGCAUGCCUGUCCGAGCGUCAUUUCAACCCUCAAGCCCCCGGGCUUGGUGUUGGGGAUCGGCGAGCCUCCGCACCCGCCGUCCCCUAAAUCUAGUGGCGGUCUCGCUGUAGCUUCCUCUGCGUAGUAGCACACCUCGCACUGGGAAACAGCGCGGCCACGCCGUUAAACCCCCAACUUCUGAACGUUUGACCUCGGAUCAGGUAGGAAUACCCGCUGAACUUAAGCAUAUCAAUAAGCGGAGGA